This 253-nucleotide ribosomal RNA is filed under the name uncultured bacterium. RNAcentral describes it as "partial 16S ribosomal RNA". It matches the Rfam family "Bacterial small subunit ribosomal RNA", at positions 524 to 776 of the family's 1533-position model. The record is from RNAcentral.
UACGUAGGGUGCAAGCGUUGUCCGGAAUUAUUGGGCGUAAAGAGCUCGUAGGCGGUUUGGCGCGUCUGCUGUGAAAACUCGGGGCUUAACCCCGGGCCUGCAGUGGGUACGGGCAGACUAGAGUGCGGUAGGGGAGACUGGAAUUCCUGGUGUAGCGGUGAAAUGCGCAGAUAUCAGGAGGAACACCGAUGGCGAAGGCAGGUCUCUGGGCCACUACUGACGCUGAGAAGCGAAAGCAUGGGGAGCGAACAGG